This 468-nucleotide ribosomal RNA is filed under the name uncultured bacterium. Its description in RNAcentral is "partial 16S ribosomal RNA". It matches the Rfam family "Bacterial small subunit ribosomal RNA", at positions 28 to 507 of the family's 1533-position model. The record is from RNAcentral.
GACGAACGCUGGCGGCGUGCUUAACACAUGCAAGUCGAACGGAAAGGGCCUGCUUUUGUGGGGUGCUCGAGUGGCGAACGGGUGAGUAACACGUGAGUAACCUGCCCUUGACUUUGGGAUAACUUCAGGAAACUGGGGCUAAUACCGGAUAGGAGCUCCUGCUGCAUGGUGGGGGUUGGAAAGUUUCGGCGGUUGGGGAUGGACUCGCGGCUUAUCAGCUUGUUGGUGGGGUAGUGGCUUACCAAGGCUUUGACGGGUAGCCGGCCUGAGAGGGUAACCGGCCACAUUGGGACUGAGAUACGGCCCAGACUCCUACGGGAGGCAGCAGUGGGGAAUAUUGCACAAUGGGCGGAAGCCUGAUGCAGCAACGCCGCGUGCGGGAUGACGGCCUUCGGGUUGUAAACCGCUUUCGCCUGUGACGAAGCGUGAGUGACGGUAAUGGGUAAAGAAGCACCGGCUAACUACGUG